GGGGCCGUUCCGGUUUCGACUGGAUGUGCUGAAUGCCGGUUGCAUGCCGAGGAUGAUCGUUGGCCUCGUUAAUCAUCGGUCAAAAAAAUAACAGCGAACGAAGAGUACGCUCUCGCUGCCUAAGUUGCGGCGACGUUUCCUCCCUGACGAACGCUAAGGGAACGAAGCGCGGACAGCGAUCUGGCUUGAAGGCUCUAUCUGGCGGCCCGAUAGCGAGAUUUCAGCCGGAGCAGUCCCAAAGCCGCCAGUCCGCCGGCUAAGCUGAGAGACGCAAAACAUUCAAGUGCGGAAUAAGCAUGUAGACACCGUCAGGAUGUCAUCUCAGGACGGGGGUUCGAUUCCCCCCGGCUCCAAAA
This 356-nucleotide transfer-messenger RNA is filed under the name Lentisphaeria bacterium. It matches the Rfam family "transfer-messenger RNA". Rfam says of the family: Bacterial tmRNA, also known as 10Sa RNA or SsrA, is named for its dual tRNA and mRNA-like properties. Its role is to liberate the mRNA from a stalled ribosome. To accomplish this part of the tmRNA is used as a reading frame that ends in a translation stop signal. The record is from RNAcentral. Lineage: Bacteria; Pseudomonadati; Lentisphaerota; Lentisphaeria.